Molecule: ribosomal RNA, 253 nt
Filed under: uncultured Eubacteriales bacterium
Lineage: Bacteria; Bacillati; Bacillota; Clostridia; Eubacteriales
Description: uncultured Clostridiales bacterium partial 16S ribosomal RNA
Rfam family: Bacterial small subunit ribosomal RNA
Source: RNAcentral
UACGUAGGGAGCAAGCGUUAUCCGGAUUUACUGGGUGUAAAGGGAGCGCAGGCGGUAUGGCAAGUCAGAUGUGAAAACCCAGGGCCCAACCCUGGGACUGCAUUUGAAACUGCCAUACUGGAGUGCCGGAGAGGUAAGUGGAAUUCCUAGUGUAGCGGUGAAAUGCGUAGAUAUUAGGAGGAACACCAGUGGCGAAGGCGGCCUGCUGGGCUUUUACUGACGCUGAGGCUCGAAAGUGUGGGGAGCAAACAGG